CAGUCGCCGCGGGAAUACGGAGGGAGCUAGCGUUGUUCGGAAUUACUGGGCGUAAAGCGCACGUAGGCGGCUUUGUAAGUUAGAGGUGAAAGCCUGGAGCUCAACUCCAGAAUUGCCUUUAAGACUGCAUCGCUUGAAUCCGGGAGAGGUGAGUGGAAUUCCGAGUGUAGAGGUGAAAUUCGUAGAUAUUCGGAAGAACACCAGUGGCGAAGGCGGCUCACUGGACCGGCAUUGACGCUGAGGUGCGAAAGCGUGGGGAGCAAACAGGAUUAGAUACCCGGGUAGUCCCUGUCUCUUAUAC
RNAcentral lists this ribosomal RNA (301 nucleotides) under uncultured bacterium. RNAcentral's name for it is "partial 16S ribosomal RNA". It matches the Rfam family "Bacterial small subunit ribosomal RNA", at positions 509 to 807 of the family's 1533-position model. The record is from RNAcentral.